UUGCACGCUGGCGGCAGGCCUAACACAUGCAAGUCGAGCGGAUGAAGGGAGCUUGCUCCUGGAUUCAGCGGCGGACGGGUGAGUAAUGCCUAGGAAUCUGCCUGGUAGUGGGGGAUAACGUCCGGAAACGGGCGCUAAUACCGCAUACGCCCUGAGGGAGAAAGUGGGGGAUCUUCGGACCUCACGCUAUCAGAUGAGCCUAGGUCGGAUUAGCUAGUUGGUGGGGUAAAGGCCUACCAAGGCGACGAUCCGUAACUGGUCUGAGAGGAUGAUCAGUCACACUGGAACUGAGACACGGUCCAGACUCCUACGGGAGGCAGCAGUGGGGAAUAUUGGACAAUGGGCGAAAGCCUGAUCCAGCCAUGCCGCGUGUGUGAAGAAGGUCUUCGGAUUGUAAAGCACUUUAAGUUGGGAGGAAGGGCAGUAAGUUAAUACCUUGCUGUUUUGACGUUACCAACAGAAUAAGCACCGGCUAACUUCGUG
Molecule: ribosomal RNA, 483 nt
Filed under: uncultured bacterium
Lineage: Bacteria
Description: partial 16S ribosomal RNA
Rfam family: Bacterial small subunit ribosomal RNA
Source: RNAcentral